This 557-nucleotide long non-coding RNA is filed under the name Cyanistes caeruleus (blue tit). Its description in RNAcentral is "lncRNA (ENSCCEG00000015613.1)". Lineage: Eukaryota; Metazoa; Chordata; Aves; Passeriformes; Paridae. The record is from RNAcentral.
UCUUUAUUUACACUUCCUUGCUGUGAUCUUUCCCAGGAAUGUGGAUUCAGACAGCCCAAAUUGUGUCUAACUUAGUGAAAGUAAGGCAAAACAAUGGUGGCAAAGGGGAAGAAAAAACUUGUGGCUACUCAUAAGAGAACCAUCAUGUGGAAAAAAGAAAACCUCCAGACUGAGGUCAGUCAUUUGAUGUGCGGAAACAGACACCCCUCUCAAAUCCACAUGAGAGUGACUUCAGCAGUAAGAAACAUGUGCCUAUCUCCAACACAGCAAAAGUGAAAAGAAGGUCAGUACCUUGACAGUUGGCAUUUUUGCUUCAGUAGGAAAGACACAUCCAUCCAUCCAGUUCGCAACACUGAUCUGCUGUCAUCCAGAGAUAGAUUCCUCCACAUGUCCAUUUUGUAUGAUAUGGUGGUAGUCAGCAUGGUUUGUCAAUAUCUUGCUUUUACAGAUGAUAGGAUAACCAAAACAUUAACAGCAAUUCCUUUACUUCUCCUUUCUCUCUGCAUUUGAAGUAAAAUUAUCGGGUAGUUCUCAGAUCAGCCUUAGCAAACAGUGGG